AUUGUGAACUGGUGGAUAAAGGCAGGAUUGGUAAAGAAAUUUUUUUUGGCCGAAUAAUUCUCAAGUUGCGAAUCAAUUAAGAGGUUUUUCCCAAAAAAAAAACAAUAAUUAAUUAUUUGUGUCGGAAACUUUGGACGGAAACUUUUAAGCCGCUUAAUUUGACUCUCCACAUUCGAAGUGAUCGAAGAACUAAAUUAUAGAGUGGCGGAGAAAGUGGGCACACACCAAUAAAUUUAUAAACGUUAAUUGGGAAAAUAUUUUUUGUAAAGUGGCUAAACCCUCUAUAUAUUCUAAAAACUGUUUCCAAAGCUCUUAUUUUUUUUAUUGUAUGACAACUUUUUUUGUACCUACUUACCACAUAUUGACGAAUGCAGUGUUGAGCUUAAGUUGGUGAUGGUGUCUUUUAAUUCUUGAUGAUAUUUCGUAAAAAGCGUAUCAUCUGAAAUAAAUAAACGUUCGUUUCCUGGUGUUUGGGUGCUUCACACAAAUGUUGGCACUUACAGUGUUUAUCUUUGUAUAUUCUGGAAAUACUGGCAUCAUCCACACUCGCGCCCAACAGCGAAGAGACUAAAUUUUCGAUAAAAUCCCGCACGAGCAUUUUUUCGCGCUUCCGCGUGAGAUCAAAUUUUUCGUCCAUAUUUUCGCUCCGCCUGGAUACCGCAGUAUCCGCCAAAACGCCUUUGUUAUGAUUACGUAAAGGAAGAGACUGGAGAAUGGCUUGCAUCCAGGACGGCCUUUUCAGGCAUGCAUAACACGUCCAACCCUUCCGACGACAGUCGUACUUGGAACAACGCUGCUUGCAAACCCUUUCUUCGCACCCUACACAUAUCACUAUUUUUACGUCUUCGGUUAAGUGCGAACGAAGGUAGCUCCCACAUACAGCGCAGUGCCACUGCAAGGCUGGACUACGGCUCCUGGAAGAGGGUUUCAACGCCAAAAUUGAUAUCGGUUUUACGAAAAUGUGGAUGCAUUACGUUUUUUCUUUAAAAUAAGGGGCAAGUAGCACAAAAUCUGGAACAUUGCCUAAUCAGCGGCCACUUUUUUUGUUGACUGACACUUUCAACCGGAUUCACGGUUUAAAAUCUGAGUACCACUCAUCCGGAAAUAUAUGUACCAUAUUAGUGCGCUAACUGUCGAUGGCACUUUAAAGGCAGAAUCGAUUCAUGCGAGUGAUGCGUCACAUAAAUUCGUACCAAAAUAGUAUAAGUAGAGUCAUUGUACUCGUGUAUAAAGUGAACGUUAUUGCUAAAAGGAGUACGCAAAGAAAGUGUUACCUAUCAUUGGUUUACAAAUUUUAAGCACCAAGUUUUCUAAUUCUGCAACUGCUGUGAUAAAAGCGAAAAAUUGUUUUAAAAAAAUAUUAGUUUAAUAUUCUAGGUAAGAUACUGGAUUUUGUCAAGUGAUAACGAUUAACAUUAACUGCUGGCUUACUUGACCCAGUUAAGAGCAUUCAUUACCUAUCUCUUACGAUUGAACAAAUAAUUACCUUCAGAUUAGAAAUGAAUAAUUGAUUUGAAAAUAAAAUAAAGAAAAAUGCGGGGAAAACUACGUUCUUUAUUUGAAAAAAAAAAUGCAUUUAGUUAGAUCGAGUAAAAUUAUUUCAUAAAACACGUGGAGUUGGCUAGGAAUUAUUACGAUUUGGCGAUAAUUUACUAAUAGGUUUUAAACUCUUACCUUUGUGACUUGCUCCCUUGUAUUAAUAUGUAGCAAACUCCGGACAAAACACCCGCCACCACACUUACUCCAAUUCCAGCCGUUACCACAAUUGUCACAACAUCUGAUGGCAUUUUUUCAAAUUUUUCGUUUUUUUUUUUAAUAUUUUUUAACGCACUAAACUACAACUCAAAUACGUUUCGCCGUAAGACAUGUAUUUACAUUUUUCUACCUGUAAUGAAGAUGAUCACGAGAUUUCUAAUGAAAUUUAACAACACCUUUUAGUGACGUAAAUAUCUACCUAGCUUGACCUUGCCAAGAUAAAUACAUUUUUAGAAGCGGAAUUUUACUUGGGUAUAACCACCUGUUAAGAAAUAGCCAUCAAGGAGCAGAGCAGCGUAUUUGCUUGGCCUGGUUCUCGAUGAUUUAAGAUUUGUUUGUAAUGGUGCUACGAUCUUGUCAUAAUAUUGCACUUGAAGGCUUCGGUGUAAGUUUUUGAGUUAAAAAUGUCUUUCUGACUGUUUUUUAAUUUUUUAUUAAAUAAAUGUGGAGUAAGAGGUGUCUUUGGGUACCCCUAACUAGUGGAUCUAGAAACCAUCUGAAAGCAGAGAUUUGGAUUCCGCAGUUGAAGUGAUUAGAAAUUAGAAGAGAAGCAUGAAAAAAUCAGAGGAAAGACUAAAAAAAUAAGUUAAAGGAGUAAAAAAAGGGAGAAAUUGUAAACACCAAAAAACUGAUGAAAAAAAGUUU
Molecule: long non-coding RNA, 2400 nt
Organism: Tribolium castaneum (red flour beetle)
Lineage: Eukaryota; Metazoa; Arthropoda; Insecta; Coleoptera; Tenebrionidae
Exons: 3
Source: RefSeq, a predicted model, not a curated record